GUGGAGCUGGUACUCCACCCUGAAGGGGAAAAAAGCUCAUUUAAUUCAUUUCUGCACUUGGAAGCCUCUCCCUUUUCGAACGCCAAUUAGGCGGCAGCUGCUGGGGACUUUUUUCCUCCCCUUAUCCCAAGAUGGCCGUCUGAUUUUCGGCGCCUGUUGACUUAAGCUCUUGCAGGAGGUUGGGUGGGGCGGGCGUGGUAGGACCGCGGCCGCUCUGAAGUGGGCUGGCCGAGUUUUGCUGACUUUCCGCGAGAGCCUGUGGGUGGGAGCGGGUGAGGUUCCACAGAGGACCCAGCCCUCGUCUGUUUCUUCCAGGACGCUGGGGUUUGGGAUUUCAGAGUCUGGUUUUUCUUUGUUUCCGGAGAGUCCAUUCCAGCAUCUAUUAAACAAGAAUAAGAAGGAAAGAUUCGAAGCAAUAUCCCAAUACCCUUUAGAUUCUAUCAACUGUGAGACACUAUGGAUUUUCAAAGACGGCUGACUGCCUUUCAUGCCUCUGAACUCCGCCCUUCCUUGGCAUGAUGGAGAAGGAAAAUGAACUCAAGACCCACCUAGUACAGCAUCUUAAAUCUAAUUAGGUACCCAAACAAGCGAAUUAUUUGAACUCAACGCAUCCCAAGUUGCAAAAGUGGGCCAAGUCUCUUGGCUCCUAGGACUACAGCUCUGCCUCCUUCAGGAGCUAGAGAGCUGAUGCUCAGGAGAACUGCAGGUAUGUGCCAGGCCCCGGGAAGAAGCACACCCUCCUGUGUAAUGUGAAGGCCACGGUCCAGACUUCAUUCUCCCCGGGUCUCAGGGUAAGUGCAACAGCGGAGGAAAAUCUUAACUACAGAAGCGCGAAACCUCUUUCCGAGUGAUAAUGCUGCCUAGCAGGGUGCCUUGGGAGAGCUCGAUUGUACGGUACGUCCCUUCUGUACACAGGGCCUGUGAGUCAUGCUCCUUAGGGAAGAUCAGAGGAGAGAAAGCCUAGUGGCUGGCAGGUGCCUUAGGCCCUUCAGAUAGGUCCUUGUCUCGGGGCCCCUGUGACCUGUGAAGAUCUUCAGGGGUCAAACCUCUUAUUCUCUCUUCUCUGGGCCCCCUCUUCCCAACUGGAAGGAGUAUCACCGUCUCCUCAGAGCACCAUUUAAUUUCCUCUUCAUAGACUAAGCCUUUAUCAGAUGUCACGAUGUUUUGCACCGAGGCAUCAAUGUCACUGUUCAGAGAGACAGUAUUUUGAAACCUGAAGACAGAGAAGAGUGUGGAAUAGCUGCAGAUACAGACAGUUGAUUUCAUUCAUUCAUUCAUUCAUUCAUUCAUUCAUUCAUUCAUUUUUCCCUUGAGUGCUUAGAGAAACACUUAAAUCCUCUAUCUCCUCUGCUGCUGCGUUGCUCAAGCCAACGUGCUCUCUGAGCUGGACCGGUACAGUACUUUCUGAAUAGUUCUAUU
Molecule: long non-coding RNA, 1419 nt
Filed under: Felis catus (domestic cat)
Lineage: Eukaryota; Metazoa; Chordata; Mammalia; Carnivora; Felidae
Description: lncRNA (ENSFCAG00000046433.2)
Source: RNAcentral